RNAcentral lists this ribosomal RNA (554 nucleotides) under uncultured bacterium. Its description in RNAcentral is "partial 16S ribosomal RNA". It matches the Rfam family "Bacterial small subunit ribosomal RNA", at positions 355 to 924 of the family's 1533-position model. The record is from RNAcentral.
UGGGGAAUAUUGCACAAUGGGCGAAAGCCUGAUGCAGCAACGCCGCGUGAGUGAUGAAGGCCUUCGGGUUGUAAGGCUCUGUCUUUUGGGACGAUAAUGACGGUACCAAAGGAGGAAGCCACGGCUAACUACGUGCCAGCAGCCGCGGUAAUACGUAGGUGGCAAGCGUUGUCCGGAUUUACUGGGCGUAAAGGAUGCGUAGGCGGAUUUUUAAGUGAGAUGUGAAAUACCCGGGCUUAACUUGGGUGCUGCAUUUCAAACUGGGAAUCUAGAGUGCGGGAGAGGAGAAUGGAAUUCCUAGUGUAGCGGUGAAAUGCGUAGAGAUUAGGAAGAACACCAGUGGCGAAGGCGAUUCUCUGGACCGUAACUGACGCUGAGGCAUGAAAGCGUGGGUAGCAAACAGGAUUAGAUACCCUGGUAGUCCACGCCGUAAACGAUGAGUACUAGGUGUAGGAGGUAUCGACCCCUUCUGUGCCGCAGUUAACACAAUAAGUACUCCGCCUGGGAAGUACGAUCGCAAGAUUAAAAACUUAAAUGAAUUGACGGGGUCAUAG